RNAcentral lists this ribosomal RNA (235 nucleotides) under uncultured bacterium. Its description in RNAcentral is "partial 16S ribosomal RNA". It matches the Rfam family "Bacterial small subunit ribosomal RNA", at positions 118 to 351 of the family's 1533-position model. The record is from RNAcentral.
UGAGUAACCUGCCCUUAACUCUGGGAUAAGCCUGGGAAACUGGGUCUAAUACCGGAUAUGACUCCUCAUCGCAUGGUGGGGGGUGGAAAGCUUUUUGUGGUUUUGGAUGGACCCGCGGCCUAUCAGCUUGUUGGUGAGGUAAUGGCUUACCAAGGCGACGACGGGUAGCCGGCCUGAGAGGGUGACCGGUCACACUGGGACGGUGAGACACGGCCCAGACUCCUACGGGAGGCAG